Molecule: long non-coding RNA, 2121 nt
Organism: Herpailurus yagouaroundi (jaguarundi)
Lineage: Eukaryota; Metazoa; Chordata; Mammalia; Carnivora; Felidae
Exons: 3
Source: RefSeq, a predicted model, not a curated record
UUUAAAAUUUUAAAAAAAAAAGAAAUAGAAAUGCCGGUAGCAUAUUUGAAACAGUCUUUGGCAAUAAGUGUAAUCUUAUUACACUUCUACUUAUCUUUAUCUUAUCUAUCUACUUAUUAUCUUCUACUACUACUGACAGGGACAAACCCUAGUUGGCUUCUCAAAGAAGAUGAGAUUGGAUGCUUUCAGGUGGUUUCUGUGGCUGCAGAUGCUUGUGCCUCAGCCCAGCUGCUCAGCCCAACAGCAUCAUGCUGUGCGCUGCCCCAGUACCUCAUCCACAGACACCUGUCAUGUUCCAAGUUCAGCUGAGCGGUGCUGGAAAUGACAACUUUUCUCUACAUCUCUUCUUCCAUUAAUAGAAUGGGAACAUUCAAUAAAAAGAACCUGAGGUAAGGGCAAGAACAAGCACAGUGCUCCACGCAAGAAAGGUAACGCCAUCACCACGUGGGAAAACACAAACGUUUUACAUCUUUACUGGGGAGUUGUUACAUCCGCAGAACCAUUUUUCCAAAUUUUCGAGCCAAGAUUUAUGCAUUCCAGUGCGUUCAAAGCUUAUCUCCAGCAAAACUGAUUCUGUUGAUACAUCCUGCAGCUUUCCUCAACCAGGUCCAGUCUACUGAGAGGCCCAUCGAAGGCACUCUUCAUUUCCACUGCGAUGUGGGCUUUUGUGAGUUGCUUUUAUCUCUAGCAUUUUUUUGGGGGGGGUUCUUUCUUAAGAUUUCCAUCUCUGCAUUACUGCUGCCCAUCUGUUCUUGCGGGCUGUUUUCUUUAUCCGUUAGAGGCCUUAGCAUUUUAAUCAUGGUUGUUUUCAAUUCCCAGUCUGUUUUCAAUUCAACGGACCCUGUCCUGUCUGGUUCUGAUGCUUCUCUGUCUCUUCAAAUUCUGUUUUUGCCUUUUGGGACGCCUUGUCAUUUUUUUCUUGGUGGCUGGACAUGGGGUUCCCGGGGAAGAAAGGAACUGCUGUAAAUAGGCCUUUAGUGAUAUGGUGAGUGGGGGGGAGCAGGGCUGUACUCUCCAAUGAUGAGGUCUGUCUUUAGUGAAUUUCAGGAGUGUUUCUCAGCUGUUUUCGCCCCCCUCGGGUGGGACAGGUUGGCUAGAGUGGGCUGGGGUUGGGUAUUCCCUUCCCCAGUCAGCUAGGCUCUGCUAAUGCCCCAGUAGGUUAGGCUCUGGUUAACUAGUCUCCCCUGAGGGCGGGCCUUAAGAAAAACAGAGUGCUCAACCCUAUUUCAGGAAGUACCUUGCCCCGCCCCCUGCUGGAAGCCUCUGGAUAUUUUCCUCUGAUACUAGGAGAACCUAGAAGGAGGUAUAUUUCACAAUAUGGUGGGUGAUGAAAUUUGAAGUGGGGUUCGUGAGCUAAGAAAGAAUUCUCGAGACUACUUUAGUGCAAAAAGGUGAUUUUAUUAAAGCACGGGGACAGGACCGUAGGCAGAAAGAGUUGCACUGGGGUUGUGAGGAAUGACUGAUUAUAUACUUUUAAGUUUGUGGAGGGAGGGGAGGGACGUAUAGAUAACAGAGGUCUCCAAGGAGUUUUUGGAUGCUGAAAGCAGGGUCUCCCAGGACCCUGAAGAUUUAGCUAUUGUCAAGGUAAGGUUGCUUUUAGUUUUUAAGGAAGUGUCAACAUUAAGCAUUAAGGCAGCCAUGAACGUCUUGGGGAGUAUUACACUGACAUCUGUCAAUGGGCUGCAGGCUGUAAGGGCAUUUAAUUUAAAUGACAUUUUUCAUGCCUUUGUUUCCCUCAUCAGUGGGGGUCCCCCUGGAGUUAACUCUCAGAGUUUUGGGCACUGAGCCUCCAGUGAGCGUUCAGAUUUCUCUGCCCCAGCACUGGUUUCUACCCUAAACUUCUUUCUGCUCUAGUAAGAUAAGACAUCCUAUAUCUGCCAACUGGUCUCUUCAGUCUGGGGGCAGACCCCACCUGUGCCCCACCCCCACCCCCACUUGUGGAUCCAAGAAGACUGGCUGCUUUUUCAGUCUCUUCAGCUUUUACUUAUCAGGACAGAGGGAGACUUCUGGGCUUAUAUGCAAAACCGGAAACUAGAAGUGUUCUUACAAACUUAUUUACAGGGGCCUGGGUGGCUCAGUUGGUUUAGCCUCUGACUCGUGGUUUUGGCUCAGGUCAUGAUC